Molecule: non-coding RNA, 454 nt
Filed under: Chlorocebus sabaeus (green monkey)
Lineage: Eukaryota; Metazoa; Chordata; Mammalia; Primates; Cercopithecidae
Description: Eukaryotic large subunit ribosomal RNA
Rfam family: Eukaryotic large subunit ribosomal RNA
Source: Rfam by way of RNAcentral
UGUUGUUACCAUGGUAAUCCUGCUGGGUAUGAGAGGAACUGUAGGUUCAGACAAUUGGUGUAUGUGCUUGGCUGAGGAGCCAAUGGGGUGAAGUUACCAUCUGUGGGAUUAUGACUGAAGGCCUCUAGGUCAGAAUCUCACCAAGGAGGAAGGAUGUGGCAGCCCUGCCUAGCCUCGGUUGGCCUCAGAUAGCCGGUCCGCCACCCUUUCUACCGGCCGGAGGCUCCGCCCGGCUGCGCCGCAGAGACCGGGCUCCAGUACAGAUAGCCCCUAGUCCUAAAAAACGGCUGUGUCUAGAAAGGCGGUUGUCCCUUGGCCCAUCACGUAGGGUGUUUAUGGGGAAUCUGAUGCUAAACUAUUCGCAGACGCCCUGCUUCUGGGUCAGAGUUUCCUAUGGAGCAGAGCAGCUCCCAUACUGCAACCUAUUGAAAGUCGGUCCUUCACACAAGGGUCU